RNAcentral lists this ribosomal RNA (250 nucleotides) under Acinetobacter baumannii. Its description in RNAcentral is "partial 16S ribosomal RNA". It matches the Rfam family "Bacterial small subunit ribosomal RNA", at positions 431 to 673 of the family's 1533-position model. The record is from RNAcentral. Lineage: Bacteria; Pseudomonadati; Pseudomonadota; Gammaproteobacteria; Moraxellales; Moraxellaceae.
CACUUUCAGCGAGGAGGAAGGGGUUGAGUUUAAUACGCUCAAUCAUUGACGUUACUCGCAGAAGAAGCACCGGCUAACUCCGUGCCAGCAGCCGCGGUAAUACGGAGGGUGCAAGCGUUAAUCGGAAUUACUGGGCGUAAAGCGCACGCAGGCUGUUUGUUAAGUCAGAUGUGAAAUCCCCGCUCUUAACGUGGGAACUGCAUUUGAAACUGGCAAGCUAGAGUCUUGUAGAGGGGGGUAGAAUUCCAGG